RNAcentral lists this ribosomal RNA (783 nucleotides) under Ania hongkongensis. RNAcentral describes it as "eukaryotic LSU rRNA". The stretch from base 319 to 474 matches the Rfam family "5.8S ribosomal RNA". The record is from RNAcentral. Lineage: Eukaryota; Viridiplantae; Streptophyta; Magnoliopsida; Asparagales; Orchidaceae.
CUCUGCGAGAAGUCCAUUGAACCUUAUCAUUUAGAGGAAGGAGAAGUCGUAACAAGGUUUCCGUAGGUGAACCUGCGGAAGGAUCAUUGUCGAGACCGAUCGAGCGAUUAGGAGAACCCGUGAAAUAAGUGGCGGCAGUUGCCGUCGCGGAACAUCCGUCACGGUCGUUGCCUCGUCUCCUUUGGUGGGGGCCGCGCGACGACGGGCGAAAAAAAAUUCAAACCGACGCAAUUUCGCGUCAAGGGAAUGUUGAAAAACACGAGCCCGGGAUCGGGCUUAGUGGCGUGGAGUGCUGAUGCACACCAUAUGGAUUGACACGACUCUCGGCAAUGGAUAUCUCGGCUCUCGCAUCGAUGAAGAGCGCAGCGAAAUGCGAUACGUGGUGCGAAUUGCAGAAUCCCGCGAACCAUCGAGUCUUUGAACGCAAGUUGCGCCCGAGGCCAACCGGCCAAGGGCACGUCUGCCUGGGCGUCAAGCGUUGCGUCGCUCCCUGCCACAACCCCAUGCCGCGAAUGGGCGUGUCGGGUGAGGCUCGGACGUGCAGAGUGGCUCGUCGUGCCCAUCGGUGCGGCGGGCUGAAGAGCGGGUCAUCGUCUCAUUGGCCACGAACAACAACGGGUGGAUAAAAGCUGCGAGCAGGGCCUGUGUUGUCUCUCGUGCUGCCCCGAGAAAAGAUUUUCAAUACCUUCGAGUUGAUCCCAGCCCAUGCGUCGAUCCACAUGCGACGGCUUGGAAUGCGACCCCAGGAUGGGCGAGGCCACCCGCCGAGUUUAAGCAUAUCAA